Molecule: ribosomal RNA, 415 nt
Filed under: uncultured bacterium
Lineage: Bacteria
Description: bacterial SSU rRNA
Rfam family: Bacterial small subunit ribosomal RNA
Source: RNAcentral
GGAAUAUUCCACAAUGGGCGAAAGCCUGAUGGAGCGACGCCGCGUGAGUGAAGAAGGGCUUCGGCUCGUAAAGCUCUUUUCUUGAGGACGAAUGACCUGUUAGACAGGUAGAGACGGUACUUAGGGAAUAAGCCACGGCUAACUACGUGCCAGCAGCCGCGGUAAUACGUAGGUGGCAAGCGUUGUCCGGAAUUAUUGGGCGUAAAGGGAGCGCAGGCGGGUUUGCAAGUCCAAAUUAAAAGUGCAGGAGUAAUGCCUGUGAUGGUUUGGAAACUGCAAAUGUUGAGAGCAGGAGAGGCAAGCGGAAUUGCCGGUGUAGCGGUGAAAUGCGUAGAUAUCGGGAGGAACACCAGUGGCGAAGGCGGCUUGCUGGACUGAAUCUGACGCUGAGGCUCGAAAGCCAGGGUAGCGAACG